This is a long non-coding RNA of Pistacia vera, 847 nucleotides long. RefSeq lists it as uncharacterized. NCBI's taxonomy places the organism in Eukaryota, Viridiplantae, Streptophyta, Magnoliopsida, Sapindales, Anacardiaceae. The transcript has 5 exons. The record is from RefSeq and is a predicted model, not a curated record.
UUGGUGCCCAAACCUUGAAACCAUUCCAGACCUGGGAAGCCUCACCUCUCUUAACAGUUUGGAGAUUGAGAAUUGCGAAAACCUUGAAUCCAUUCCAGAGUUGGGAAGCCUCACCUCUCUUGAAUCUUUGUCCAUUGAUGAAUGCCCAAAGCUCAAAUCCAUUCCAGAUCUGGGAAGCCUCACCUCUCUUGAGUCUUUGUGCAUUAAGAAAUGCCCAAAGCUCAAAUCAUUGCAAAGCAUGCCACCCUCACUUCUGGAUUUAAGUAUUGACCAUUGUCCAUUGUUAAAAAGACGGUGGAAAAGGGGUAGAGGAAAAUACUGCUCAAAGAUUGCUCAUAUCCCUAAAGUUUACAUAGAUGGAAACUUAAUCUUCAAUUCAAAGAAGGAAGAGUAUCAAGAAUGAGCAUAGUUAUUUGAUUUCACAACAUCCAAUCGGAGAAUCAUCUUACUUCAACCCAGAUGAGUUAAGCUUCUACCACUCAGAGGAGUCAAAUUUAUACCACUCAGAGAUAUAAUUUGAAUCUAAGCCUUUUUAAAUCCCAAAAUGAAGAACCAAUUACAGAAUCAUCUCAUUCCAAUUUUAGAUUCAAUCCAAGAGUGGAGUAAGACAUUUUGAUACAAGAAUACUUGAAAUUUGAAGUUUUUAUACACUAUCUUUCUAAAGUCAUCAGUUUCUUCAACUCUUGUGGGUGAAAGAUUUGAGAUACUUUGUUGAGGUGGAAUGAAAUCAGAUUGCGAUUGGAAUGCCAUAAAAUUUUCCUUAUCCAGAUGCACGAUCAAGCUACCCUCAUCAGCACAAGACUGACUUAGCCUUUAAGGUAGUUCAUCUGGUAUAAAUGAAGAGGAC